RNAcentral lists this ribosomal RNA (514 nucleotides) under uncultured bacterium. RNAcentral's name for it is "bacterial SSU rRNA". It matches the Rfam family "Bacterial small subunit ribosomal RNA", at positions 143 to 637 of the family's 1533-position model. The record is from RNAcentral.
AUAACCGUCCGAAAGGAUGGCUAAUACCUGAUAAGACCACAGCCCUGAGGGGUGGUGGGAAAAGCGGGGGAUCGCAAGACCUCGCGCACCAAGAUGAGCUCGCGGCCCAUUAGGUAGUUGGAGAGGUAACGGCUCACCAAGCCAGAGAUGGGUAGCUGGUCUGAGAGGACGAUCAGCCACACUGGAACUGAGACACGGUCCAGACUCCUACGGGAGGCAGCAGUGGGGAAUCUUGCGCAAUGGACGAAAGUCUGACGCAGCCAUGCCGCGUGAGUGAUGAAGGCCCUCGGGUCGUAAAGCUCUGUCCAAGGGGACGAAAAAGGUGUUGGUGAAUAUCCAGCAUUUCUGACGGUACCCUUGAAGAAAGCACCGGCUAACUCCGUGCCAGCAGCCGCGGUAAUACGGAGGGUGCAAGCGUUGUUCGGAAUUACUGGGCGUAAAGCGCGCGCAGGCGGCAUUAUAAGUCGGGUGUGAAAUCCCUGGGCUUAACCCAGGACGUGCGCCUGAUACUGUG